AUGCAGGUCUUCACAGACGGCUCUGUCGGCUCCGCCGUGGCCGCGUGUCCCGGAGAGCGGCACCGCUCAGCGGUCUCCGUGCUUAGAGUCCCCUUGAGCGGGGUUUCGCCUCCGCCCCUGGCCCGGGAGACAGUCCAGCGCAGCCCCGUGUUUGUCCCUGAGGCGGGACAGGUGCCGAGCCCGGGAGAGCAGAGCGGCUGGAGAGCGCCUGGGGCCUGCCGGCGACAGGCUCCGGGUCUGGCUGGAGUGCGGACACCGUCGGGGCUCCGGCGGGGGCGGUGGCUCUGGAAGAGCCAAGCCGGAAGCCAACCACUCAGGAGCCCAUCCAGUACCACCUGCCCUGUGCGCAAGUGACCACGGACAAAUCCCUGCAGGACCCCUUGGGCUGUUGUGCCCCAUCGGAGCGAUGGGCCCUCUCACCUCCCCAGAGCCGCCAGGUUUGAAGCAAAACCCUCAAGGUGGAGGGAUUCAAAUGACCUCACCAGUUUUUAUUUUUCUCCUUGAAGAGAAAGCUUUUAAAAUCUCCUUUGUAUCCAACAGUCCUUUUUGGCUUUUUCUCUCUAAUGUAUAAUCUGUAUUUCAACAAGCGUGCUGAGACUCUCUGCCUGGUAGAGACGCUAUUUAUGUGUUUUUAUUUUAUUACAAAAAUGAAUAGAAACACAGUUUUGCUUUAUGCAAUGAAUGUUUAUAUGACAGUCUUUCUUUUUUUUUUUUUUUAAGAUUUUUAUUUUGAAAAGAAGUGAACACAAGCGAGGAAAGGAGCAGAGGGAGAGGGAGAAGCAGAUUCCUCACUGAGCAGGGAGCCCAGUGCGGAGCUCGAUCCCAGGACCCUGAGAUCAUGACCUGAGCUGAAGGCAGACACUUAACCACUGAGCCACCCGGGUGCCCCUAUAUCACAGUCUUUAAAAUGAAUUAUAUUUUAAAAUGUAUUAGAAGAGCUAGAUUUUUAAGUCCUCUCUAUGCUCAGCAUGGGGCUUGAAGUCCUGACCUUGAGACUGAGUCACAUGCUCUGUCGACUGGGCCAGCCGGGGGCUCCUAGAAGAGCAACAUCUUUAAAGGACCCUUCCCAGAAGUUCUUUAGUGAAGAAAUUCUCAGGUACUUUAGAUUUUCUUUAAAAGCAGGAAUGAUUAUUGACGAGAAGAAUAUGUCACCCCAAAAGAUGCCACUUUCACAUGUGGAUUAGUUCGAGCUGAAGGCAAUCAAGACCCAGCAGAUGCAAGAAAAAUUCUUACCUCUCAACUUCCUAGAGGAGUUUGGAUAGGGGGCCUGGCUCAGAGGGAGCGGUUACCAGCUGUAAACUUUUACCUGCGUGACCUGCCAUCCUGCGAAUGCUCCCGUCCCCUUCCUCCGCUC
Molecule: long non-coding RNA, 1354 nt
Filed under: Ursus americanus (American black bear)
Lineage: Eukaryota; Metazoa; Chordata; Mammalia; Carnivora; Ursidae
Description: lncRNA (ENSUAMG00000018248.1)
Source: RNAcentral